UGGGGAAUUUUGGACAAUGGGGGCAACCCUGAUCCAGCCAUCCCGCGUGUGCGAUGAAGGCCUUCGGGUUGUAAAGUACUUUUGGCAGGGAAGAAACAGCCUGGGCUAAUAUCCCGGGCGACUGACGGUACCUGCAGAAUAAGCACCGGCUAACUACGUGCCAGCAGCCGCGGUAAUACGUAGGGUGCAAGCGUUAAUCGGAAUUACUGGGCGUAAAGCGUGCGCAGGCGGUUCGGAAAGAAAGGUGUGAAAUCCCAGGGCUUAACCUUGGAACUGCACUUUUAACUACCGGGCUAGAGUACGUCAGAGGGGGGUAGAAUUCCACGUGUAGCAGUGAAAUGCGUAGAGAUGUGGAGGAAUACCGAUGGCGAAGGCAGCCCCCUGGGAUGAUACUGACGCUCAUGCACGAAAGCGUGG
This 417-nucleotide ribosomal RNA is filed under the name uncultured bacterium. RNAcentral describes it as "bacterial SSU rRNA". It matches the Rfam family "Bacterial small subunit ribosomal RNA", at positions 355 to 764 of the family's 1533-position model. The record is from RNAcentral.